Molecule: long non-coding RNA, 504 nt
Organism: Sander lucioperca (pikeperch)
Lineage: Eukaryota; Metazoa; Chordata; Actinopteri; Perciformes; Percidae
Exons: 3
Source: RefSeq, a predicted model, not a curated record
AAGCCUUUUAGCUGCUCUGAGUGUGGAAAAGCUUUCACUGAUAGUGGAAGCCUGAAGAACCACAUGAGAACUCACACAGGAGAGAAGCCAUUUAGCUGCUCAGUUUGUAAGAAAUCUUUUACACAGAGAGAAAGUUUACGGUCACACAUGACAGCCCACACAGGAGAGAAAAGAUUCAGCUGCAGUGUUUGUAACAAAAGAUUUGCCUGGCGUUCUGAUGUCAAAACACAUAAAUGUGUUGGUCAGAUGGAAACAGAAGCUGAUGGAGAGGACUGUGGAGGACCAGAACCAGCCAGGAACUCACAUCCACUUUUACAACCAGAGACUGAAGACCAGACUGGAGACUCUUCUGAUCCUGAGACUGGUGACAUGGAAUAACGUUUGUGCCUUUAAGUCCAAGCUAAACUUAUCAAACAGAAUUCUUUAUGUAUCAACAUCUAGAUAGAAAACAUUAUAUUGUGUGGUAGGAAAAAGUACACUCUUAUUUUAAAUAUUUUAUUAGUC